This 75-nucleotide transfer RNA is filed under the name Camelus ferus (Wild Bactrian camel). It matches the Rfam family "tRNA". Rfam says of the family: Transfer RNA (tRNA) molecules are approximately 80 nucleotides in length. Their secondary structure includes four short double-helical elements and three loops (D, anti-codon, and T loops). Lineage: Eukaryota; Metazoa; Chordata; Mammalia; Artiodactyla; Camelidae. The record is from Rfam by way of RNAcentral.
GGUAGGGUACAGCUCAGUGGUAAGAGUGUGUGCUUAGCAUGUACACCACCCUGGGUUCAAACUCCAGCCCCUCCA